This 407-nucleotide ribosomal RNA is filed under the name uncultured bacterium. RNAcentral describes it as "bacterial SSU rRNA". It matches the Rfam family "Bacterial small subunit ribosomal RNA", at positions 355 to 776 of the family's 1533-position model. The record is from RNAcentral.
UGGGGAAUUUUCCGCAAUGGGCGAAAGCCUGACGGAGCAAUACCGCGUGAGGGAAGACUGCCUAUGGGUUGUAAACCUCUUUUUUCAGGGAGGAAUAAAUGACGUGUACCUGAAGAAUAAGCAUCGGCUAACUCCGUGCCAGCAGCCGCGGUAAUACGGGAGUGGCAAGCGUUAUCCGGAAUUAUUGGGCGUAAAGCGUCCGCAGGCGGCUUUUCAAGUCUGCUGUUAAAGCGUGGAGCUUAACUCCAUCAUGGCAGUGGAAACUGAAAGGCUUGAGUAUGGUAGGGGCAGAGGGAAUUCCCGGUGUAGCGGUGAAAUGCGUAGAUAUCGGGAAGAACACCAGUGGCGAAGGCGCUCUGCUGGGCCAUUACUGACGCUCAUGGACGAAAGCCAGGGGAGCGAAAGGG